UGGGGAAUAUUGCACAAUGGGGGAAACCCUGAUGCAGCGACGCCGCGUGAGCGAAGAAGGUUUUCGAAUCGUAAAGCUCUGUCCUAUGAGAAGAUAAUGACGGUAACCGGAGAAGAAGCCCCGGCUAACUUCGUGCCAGCAGCCGCGGUAAUACGAAGGGGGCUAGCGUUGUUCGGAUUUACUGGGCGUAAAGCGCACGUAGGCGGACUUUUAAGUCAGGGGUGAAAUCCCGGGGCUCAACCCCGGAACUGCCUUUGAUACUGGAAGUCUUGAGUAUGGUAGAGGUGAGUGGAAUUCCGAGUGUAGAGGUGAAAUUCGUAGAUAUUCGGAGGAACACCAGUGGCGAAGGCGGCUCACUGGACCAUUACUGACGCUGAGGUGCGAAAGCGUGGGGAGCAAACAGG
This 404-nucleotide ribosomal RNA is filed under the name Verrucomicrobiota bacterium. RNAcentral's name for it is "Verrucomicrobia bacterium partial 16S ribosomal RNA". It matches the Rfam family "Bacterial small subunit ribosomal RNA", at positions 355 to 776 of the family's 1533-position model. Lineage: Bacteria; Pseudomonadati; Verrucomicrobiota. The record is from RNAcentral.